RNAcentral lists this ribosomal RNA (889 nucleotides) under fungal endophyte. RNAcentral's name for it is "eukaryotic LSU rRNA". The stretch from base 455 to 889 matches the Rfam family "Eukaryotic large subunit ribosomal RNA", at positions 1 to 439 of the family's 3401-position model. Lineage: Eukaryota; Fungi. The record is from RNAcentral.
GAGUUUACAACUCCCAAACCCCUGUGAACAUACCACUGUUGCCUCGGCGGAUCAGCCCGCUCCCGGUAAAACGGGACGGCCCGCCAGAGGACCCCUAAACUCUGUUUCUAUAUGUAACUUCUGAGUAAAACCAUAAAUAAAUCAAAACUUUCAACAACGGAUCUCUUGGUUCUGGCAUCGAUGAAGAACGCAGCAAAAUGCGAUAAGUAAUGUGAAUUGCAGAAUUCAGUGAAUCAUCGAAUCUUUGAACGCACAUUGCGCCCGCCAGUAUUCUGGCGGGCAUGCCUGUUCGAGCGUCAUUUCAACCCUCAAGCACAGCUUGGUGUUGGGACUCGCGUUAAUUCGCGUUCCCCAAAUUGAUUGGCGGUCACGUCGAGCUUCCAUAGCGUAGUAGUAAAACCCUCGUUACUGGUAAUCGUCGCGGCCACGCCGUUAAACCCCAACUUCUGAAUGUUGACCUCGGAUCAGGUAGGAAUACCCGCUGAACUUAAGCAUAUCAAUAAGCGGAGGAAAAGAAACCAACAGGGAUUGCCCUAGUAACGGCGAGUGAAGCGGCAACAGCUCAAAUUUGAAAUCUGGCUCUCGGGCCCGAGUUGUAAUUUGUAGAGGAUACUUUUGAUGCGGUGCCUUCCGAGUUCCCUGGAACGGGACGCCAUAGAGGGUGAGAGCCCCGUCUGGUUGGAUGCCAAAUCUCUGUAAAGUUCCUUCAACGAGUCGAGUAGUUUGGGAAUGCUGCUCUAAAUGGGAGGUAUAUGUCUUCUAAAGCUAAAUACCGGCCAGAGACCGAUAGCGCACAAGUAGAGUGAUCGAAAGAUGAAAAGCACUUUGAAAAGAGAGUUAAAAAGUACGUGAAAUUGUUGAAAGGGAAGCGUUUAUGACCAGACUUGGG